AACGAACGCUGGCGGCAUGCCUAACACAUGCAAGUCGAACGAGACCUUCGGGUCUAGUUGCGCACGGUUACGUACCGCCUGGUAACCUGCCCUUAGGUUCGGUAUCUCUCCCCGAAAGGGGUGCUAAUACCGCGUAAUCUCUUCGGACCUAAGAUUUAUCGCCUUUGGAUGGGCCCGCGUUGGAUUCGCUAGUUGGUAGGGUAAAUGCCUACCAAGGCUAAGAGCCAUAGCUGGUCUGAGCGGAUGAUCAGCACCACUGGGACUGAGAGACGGACCAGAUUCCUAGGGGAGGAAGGAAGGGGGAAUAAGGGACGAUGGGCGAGAGACUGAUGCUGCAAUGCCGCGUGGGUGAGGAAGGAGUGAGGGUUGUAAAGGUCUGUUAAAAGGGAUGAUAAUGACAGUACCGGGAGAAUAAGCUACGGCUAACUACGUG
This 433-nucleotide ribosomal RNA is filed under the name uncultured bacterium. Its description in RNAcentral is "partial 16S ribosomal RNA". It matches the Rfam family "Bacterial small subunit ribosomal RNA", at positions 29 to 507 of the family's 1533-position model. The record is from RNAcentral.